AUUGCCUUUGCUGGUGUUUUGUGAGUGAGCCCAGGAUAGGGUGUAAAUGCAGAGCUAUGUGGGUAUGGAAGCAGGGAACACCUUGCUGCUCUCCCCUCUUGGUGUGGAAAACAACAGGAGUGAUCACGGCAACACAGCAGAGCAGGAGUAAACAAGAUCUUACAUGAAGGUCAGGGUGUUGAAAGCUCUGUACUGUGUUUCAUCAUCAGUUGGCCCCUGUGCUGUUUGUGGGAUAGAUCUGAUGCAAUGAUUUUUUGCAGUUCUAAGUUGCAAUGGCUUCUAAUCAAAAGUUUAGAGAAGGUUUGUAUCUAGCUAAGAAAAUAAACUAUCUGACUAGGAAAAGCUAUCUUUGCUACUAAGAAGGGGAUGAGGGAGAGCUAAAAUAUACACUCUGCUGUACAGUAUUGGCCACUGAAAAUCUGUAUAAAAAAGGUACUAUGAGGCUUCCAAAGUUAUCAGUUUUAUUAAUCCAGCAUUCUGAGGGACCACCUAUUUUAUUUCUACAGCACUAACAAUGGGCAAAAAUGAAUCUGAUGGCUGAAGUGGUGCUGGUUGAGUAGGGAUGGGUGGGUGCUGGCAGCAGCAGGAGCCCCCAGCUGGGGUGGCAGCCCCUAUCCCCAUGUGAUUAGAGCACCUGCCUGCUGGUAAGUGGUGCUGGUGUUUUUUCACCUAAUGUUUUCCAAGUAUUGAUUUGUGUUCAGUUCACUGCUCAUGAUUUCUGCAGGAUCUCCAUUAGCAAUUCUGUUUAUACAGUUUUGUUUAUUAAAUAUUUGCACUGAGGAAAAUUAUCUUCUUUUAUUCACAGCCUGUACUCAAGGCACUAUAGACAGAUGUCUUUAAAUUCAGGGCAUGGAAACAAUGCUUCUUUGUUUUAUGAGCAAGAAAGCCCCAUAAUUUUCAGAUGACAUGUUCAUAACUUACUUCUAUUUUUGAAAUGUCUUUUUUCAAAAUAAAAUAAACUCAGUAUCCCUUUGAAACCCAUUAGGAAGUUUCUUUAUACACUGAGAAGUUACUUUAAACAUCCUAAAUUCAGUGUGGUUCUUAUAAAAGUGUCUGUGGUACUGAAGAACUAAGAGUCUGCUGAGCCACAGCUGAAGGAAAAUGGGGACACCACUGUCAGCAGCCCUAGCAAACUUUAAAGUAGAAUUCAAUUAUGUGUGGCUGAUUCGCCCACUCUGUUUUCCUCCAAUAUAUUCUCCUACAUUUGAUUAACUUUUUCUUUUUGGUUGCACAUCUCUGUCCAGGAGAAACAUUUAGCUCUUAUUUGAAAUCAGUGUAACACAGAUAUGUAGAGCAUUGGACAACUAACAGUUUUGCUAAACAGCAAUGACUUGGAGCAACAGCUGAAGAAAUUUAUUUGCUUGAAACUAGAAUUUGACAGCAAAAUGUGUUUUUGCUGGGAAAAAUAUGCUCAUCAGUAACUAGAAAAAUAAUCCAUACCCCUGUGAUUUGUAGUGGAAAAUGCUGCUGUAGUAUAUCAGCACAGAUAAUGCUUAAAUGCUCACAUUUUUUUCUUUUCUUGUAUUGAUCAGAUCUCUCAAUCAGACUACAUUUCUCAUGAGACAUCAUACAGCACUCCAGCCAAGGAUGGAGUCCACACUUAAUCCUUGCAGUAUGGCAGGACAGUGCAGCACCAUCUCAUAAUGGAUAGGUCUAGUUUAAAACUGCAAUUUUAAGUACUUUUUUAAAUUUGUUUUGGGAAAAGGAUCGUGUGUGUAUAUGAAUGCCAGGUCUACUGGCUAUUGAAAACUGUACUCUUUACUCAGGAUGCAUAGAUUUGAUUAUACAAUCCUGCUGGAACAGUUUUUGAAUCAAUAUCAGUACUAUUCACUUAAUGAAUGUUAAAAAAGAAAGGAAGAAAGAAAACUGAUGUUUCUAAACAGCUCUAUUAUCAGCUGCUAAGAGGAAUAACCACCUUUUUAUUUAAAAGAAUGGUUGUUUGGGGAUAUAAUGAUUAUUUGUAGAGCACUGGGAUAUAGGAGGGAGAAUUUAGUUAAACUGAGUGCAUAAAAUCAUGCUGUGUUCCUUGAUAUCACCUCACAGACUGGUUUAUUUCCAGUGUCACCUUCUCUGUUUUGUAAUCUGUAUGCAUAGUGAAUAAACUCUACGCCUAAGGACUUGGACUUGAUGAUCCUUAGGGGACCUUUCCAACUCAGGGUAUUCUGUCAUCCUGAUUCUACUUUCUUUGAAGUGCAUCCAUGACAUUUACCUGCAAGGCAAAGCUUGCUCUUCUCCUCAGUAAACUGAUGGAGGGACACCUUAAAAUCCUUGGAGUCCAGGCACCUGCAAAAUGUGGGGAGUAUAUGGUCACUGCCUGCUUUCACUUAUUAGUGACCGGACUUGAACUUCACCGGCUUAUGGCUCAGGCUAUAGCACAGGCAAGAGCAAAAUCCAUCUGGAAGAAGAAAAAACAAAGUCAAGGUGAAAACAAGAUCUUUCCAACAUCAUUCCUGUAGUGGAGAGGUGCUCCAGCCCUGUGAUCAUCUUCACAGCCUCCUCUGGACCCACUCAAACAACUCUGCAUGCUCCUCCAGAUCUGGACACACUAUAUCAGUUCCAGUACAAUGUCCAAUUCCAGGUGCCUGUCUGGAGGAGGAGAAGAGCUACAUUCCCCAGGGGGCUUUGCGAUCAGUGAGGAGAUACAACUCCUGAUAAGAUUAAAUUAUGCUCGUACCUGUUGAGAAUGAAAGGAAAAGAAAUCAAGCACAAAAAUAUUCUCUUUUUACCCAGAAAUUGUUAAAUUCUCAGAGUUACCCUGCGUGUCAAGUCAAUACAGUCAUCUUCGCUUAUAGAAUGAGGGGUAAGAUUUUGUCUCCUUCCAUCCAAAAGACAGGCCUGACCAUGCUAGACAGACAACAAGCAUAUCAGAAGCACUGGAGUAAAAAACUCAUUCAUUGAAGUGGUCAUAGAAAUGACCACUCCUCUUCAGAGUUAGGCACAGAGACUCCAGGUGCACUGGUACCUUCACAUGAGCAAAUAUGAUCAGAACAAGAAUCUCUGAGCUCAGGUCUCAGCAAUAUCCUGGUUUAUGGGCAUCUCCCAGCGUAGGUUUUUAUAUUACCAUCUGUGCUUGGACCUGCAGAACUUGCAACAGUAUAGUUUAAACCUCAUGCCAAAGAGAAGAUGAACACAUCUGCUAUAAUAAUCUAUGUGUGAAAGAGACUUCAAAUGAAACUUAGCUAACAACCUGACCCUGCUGUCUCAAGUUAUCCAGCUCACAAAUCAGGGACUUACAAAUGCAAACUGGUGAUACAACGAACACAACUGUAUUCCUGUACCCAGGAAGACAAAUUUCACAGCACUUCCCAUCAAGAAGUGGAAAGAGCAACAUCAUCUUUUCUAAGAAGUAGAAUCACAAAAUCAUGACAGCCUAUGUUGGAAGGGAGCCAAAUCAUCUGAUCCAACCAUUCAUGGAAAAGAAUGCCAAGACAAGGUUAUCUAAGUUGUUUGUUUGCAUCGUGAUAACCUAAAUUGGUGGGGACUUUCAGAAAAUUUCUCCCCUUCUUUCAGAAGGACACAGGAUUCUGUGGUGUACCAGAGAAUUGUGUUCUGGGUCGUCCAGUGCAAAAAUGAUGUGAGCGUACUGAAGGGAUUCCAGCAGAGGGCCACCAAGAUCCUGGAGCACCUGUCAUGUGAGACUGGGAAUGGUCAGCCUUGGAAACAAGAGGCUCAGGGGCAUUUCGUCAAUGUUUGUAAACAUUUGAAGGCAAAGUGCAAGGCUCUCUGCAGUGGUGGUACCUAAUGUCAAGGCAAGAGGCAAUAGGCACAAACUGGAACAGAAACUUUCAUCUAAGCAUCAGGAAGCAAUUCUGUGCUCUGUGGUUGACAGCACUGGCACAGGUUGCCCAGAGGUGGUGGAGUCUCCUUGGAUAUCUUCCAGAGUCACCUGGAUGUGGACCUGGGCACUCUACUUUCAUGUCCCUGCUGGAGCUCAGGUUAGACCAGAUCACUUCGAACUUCAACCAUUCUGUGGUUCUGUGAUUCUGUGGCAUACAUGAACAUUUCACACCUAAUGAUGAAUCACUCCUUUGGCUCAGAUGGACCUCUGAAUUUAUUCCUCAGUGUCUCUAAGAUUUUUUUGGACCAAAGACAGCACAAAUAAGAUAGCUGCAGAAGUCUCCAUGAGGACUGUGUGAAACCUGAAUAUCCCUGAGAAAAUCAGCUCAACCCUUUAAUUUGCCAGCACAAUAGAUACUCAGCUGAAAGACUGAAAGGACAAUAUUCCCUGUUAUUCUUCAAACCUACCAAUUCAUCCAAACUCAUGAGGAUGAUCUAAGGAACAAACAGGUGCUAAUUCAUUCCAUUCACCCUCCAGGUUUCAUUUCAGUAUGUCACAACUGCCAGUAAAGCAGAAAUAGAUUGUUUUUAGCAAGUGCACUGUUUUCCUCUAAAAAGUAUAUAGCUCUAAGGCAGGAGAGCUGGAACUCACUGUGCACGUUAAUUAGUUGUCUCUUUAGUCCAAAGACUCUCUGGGCCCUACAGCCACAUCCACACAACACAGCAGGUACUUCAUACUGCAGUUUAACAUGAUGUCUGCUUGCUGCUCUCACUUCUGUGGAAAACUCAGAAAAAGCAUCAUUAUUUUAGGAUGACAAGACAAGAAAGAAAAGAUGCCAAAAUGUGGAACAAAAAUUAAAAAAAUGACAGACCAAAAAUUUGACAAUAAAAAACAGCCUUUUAAAGCAACCCCUCAGGGUAACAGUACCUAAAGAAAUUCAUACUGAGUCUUCACCCUUCACUGAUGUAUGUGUUUGUUUCAAACUACUGUAAAAGCCAUUUCCCAGAGCUAGAGCUAACAACACAUUUGGACAUGUUCCAUUGAUUAAUUUAUUUUUCAUGAAGGACUAUUAGAUAUCUUUGACUUGGAGUUGUUGCUGCUUUAAUAUUUUCCAGGAUGGAAGCACAACCAAUAUUCAUUAUGCCUUUGCAGAAAAAAACAAACAAAUGAAAAAAACCAUAGUAGUGAAGUUAUUGAGUCCUGAACUCAAAUACAUCUAUUUGCCCAUCCAUCAAACUUAGAAAGCAAUCCACUCUUGAUGCAAUGGAUAAAAUACUUGAGUAAAAGUAUGUAUGUAAAUAAAAUAACUACAAAUGUACACAUUUUCCCUUAUAUAAAUAUGGGGGGAAAAAAAAAAGUGCCUGUACAUAACUGCAGUGAUGAUAUCUUUAAAAUGGAUUGAUACCUGCUCUCUCUGACUGGAGGCUUGAAUUUUUCUGGCUCAUUUAUGUCUAGAAUUGGUGUUCUUUGUAGCUGUCAUUAAUUCUUGCCCUUAAUAAAAUCAGUAAAGUCUUCCCAGUGACACAGUAAUUCUGUGUGCUAGCAGUAAUGGGUCUUAACUCCAGGAUGCAUGUAAGGAAAUUCCAACAGGCUUUUCCUAUUUUGAUUCACUAAAUCCUUAGAGUAGCUUAUCAAUUGCAGAAUCACUGCUGUAAUAAAUAGGUCUCAAGAGGGAUGAAGUGAAUUCCUGAUUAUUGUUAUUAUUAUUAUUACUUCCAUCUAGGAUACUCAAAGAAGAAGAGCAUUCCAUUGGUCAUGUAUAUAAUCUGACAGCUAUCCUGAAAGCAUUUAUUUCAAGCGUUCCCCCUUUCCCCUUCCAAAAAUAAGAUUAUUCUGAACAGACAGACUGAAUGGGUAUCAGUCUUAGCCACAGAAGGACAUCCCAUCUGCAAUACCAGAAUUCAAACAGUUUUGAAGGUGCAGUAUGGUAUAUACAGACUUUCUGCUAGGAGAUUUUGGUAUCAUUAUUCAAUUUAUGGUUGUCUGGCACACAGCAGAAUUUUUUGCUGAUGUUUAGCAGUAACAUGAGAUUAAAGCUUAUAAUCAAACAGUCUGACCUAAAGAUCGCAUUGACUUGCCACAGUCUCAGAAUGGCUUUACUUAUAUUUAUAUUUAAGGGUAUUUGUUCACAUCUGGGUGUAGUGGGAAUGCUGUCAUGGGGUGAAGCAGUGAUUGAGCACCUGGUUUGAAGGCAGGGCCAAUCUAGGGGAUCUCAGGUGUAUGCAAUGCACAUGAGUGAACCAGAAGGUGUGGAGUCAGGAUACAGCCCUUCACAGACCUUGCAUAGGGUUAGCAGUGAAAGUAAGGAUAUCUUGCUGGAGUUCCCUGUGCAUUUGGGGCCUUUUAAGGGUAAGUAGAGUCUUUCCUUUAUUUCUGUGUCUAUGGUUGCUCUCUUUGAGCAAGUCCUCAGGUGCUGGAGCCUCAGACUUUGCUACUAUGUUGUCAUUGCUGUGCUAUCCAUUGUGUUACAGUGUUAUAAUGUGUGUGCUUUGAAGAGUAAGCUCAAAGUUUUGUGCUUAUUUGCCGGCAAUCACUUGGAAGGCUCAGGUUAUAAGUUUCUGUAGAAAACAGUAAGUUAUGAUUCAUGUUAUGCUUUUGCCUUUGUAGGUUGUUUCAGGUCUAAAGCUUUACCUGUGUAUCUGGAGUAUUCCUUGGGUCACAGGAAAAAGGAGCAAGUUCUCCUUUCCUUGAAUUAUUACUGAAAAAAGCACUGAGAUCUCUAAGAAAACUGUAAGAAGCCUGGGAUCUCUUAAAUCUGAAGCUGGUUCUUAUAUCAUGAAAAGAAAAUCUUCUCAACUAGUUCUUCCUUUGCUGUGUCAAUACACUUCUGAUGUUUCUGCAGUACUUUUAGUUUCCCCUUCAAAGGUUUCGUACAGGCAAUUAGGGAGAUGUGAAUUUCUGCUACCUCGCAGCUUCUGAUGCACUUCUGCAACAUGAAAAAAGCUGAGACUGAAAGCUGACUUGUGCAGUCCCUCAAGGAUAUUUUUAAUCCUCAUUCCUCUUUUGCAGAUAUACAUCUAAGUCUUCCCAAUAAAUAAAUACAAUGAAUAAAUA
Lagopus leucura (white-tailed ptarmigan) is the source of this 6832-nucleotide long non-coding RNA. RefSeq lists it as uncharacterized. The record is from RefSeq and is a predicted model, not a curated record. Lineage: Eukaryota; Metazoa; Chordata; Aves; Galliformes; Phasianidae. The transcript is spliced from 7 exons.